AUUGAACGCUGGCGGCAGGCCUAACACAUGCAAGUCGAGCGGAUGAAGGGAGCUUGCUCCUGGAUUCAGCGGCGGACGGGUGAGUAAUGCCUAGGAAUCUGCCUGGUAGUGGGGGAUAACGUCCGGAAACGGGCGCUAAUACCGCAUACGUCCUGAGGGAGAAAGUGGGGGAUCUUCGGACCUCACGCUAUCAGAUGAGCCUAGGUCGGAUUGGCUAGUUGGUGGGGUAAAGGCCUACCAAGGCGACGAUCCGUAACUGGUCUGAGAGGAUGAUCAGUCAACAACGCACUGAGACAGGCGCAAGAAUGCAACAGUAUGUAGCAGGAGGAAUUAUGGGCAAGUGUGAGAGAGCAGGAUCCAGCCAUGCCGCGUGUGUGAAGACGGUCGUCGGAUUGUAAAGCACGUUAAGGUGGGAGAAGGGUCAGUAAGUUAUUACCGUGCUUGUUUAAUGGGCACAACAGAACAAGCACCGUGUACCUUCGUGCCGGCGGCCGCGGUAAUAAUG
RNAcentral lists this ribosomal RNA (505 nucleotides) under uncultured bacterium. Its description in RNAcentral is "partial 16S ribosomal RNA". It matches the Rfam family "Bacterial small subunit ribosomal RNA", at positions 30 to 527 of the family's 1533-position model. The record is from RNAcentral.